UUCACCUCAAACAUGCAAUAUAUAAAAAUUUACAACUCAAAACUGAAAUCUAAUUGAGCUGUUUCUUUUUGGAUUAAAAGGCUGUUGGAGUUGGAUUUCCACCAAGAGAAGAAAAUAACGUUCCAUUCUUCACGCCUUCUGAAACUCGGCUGCAAAAUUUGAUGAUGCUGCUAUUCAGACUUCUCUUCAAUCAGAUGCAUCUGACUUAGGGCCUGAAGGAGGAGGUGAUUGUUGAUCUUGUUGACCAAUGUCGUUCUUACCAGAAACGGUUCAUGCUUCUGUGGAUGAAGAGCUUUUAGGUCUGGGAUUAGCACUGAAUCACAGCCCUCAGCAUGUAUUUUUGUCAACAUGCACAUGAGGUACUCGUGCACAGAAUCGGAAACCAGCCUAUGACAAGCCCGAGCCAAUGAGGGUGAGCCCACUUAUUCCCCCACCACCAGAAUCAAAGAGGCCAGUCUACUCUGGUAGUGGCAUGGUUGACUAUCUUAGUGGUGGUACGUACUAGGCAAAAGGAUCCCUUGAAAACUCAUGUUAUAAAUAACUAAUUAGUUUAUUAUUUUUAUUAGUUUGUUAUUUUAUUAGUAAUUUAAGUUUGGAUCUUUAGUAAGGCUUGUUAGAUAAUUAUACUCUAUUUAAAUAGAUUAACACUUGUAUAUUCAUCAUGAUAAUAUUAAAUUAUUCAUUUUUUAUAUGCUAUCACAAGCUCUCGUUUGAGAGGGCCUCACU
Molecule: long non-coding RNA, 726 nt
Organism: Vicia villosa (hairy vetch)
Lineage: Eukaryota; Viridiplantae; Streptophyta; Magnoliopsida; Fabales; Fabaceae
Exons: 3
Source: RefSeq, a predicted model, not a curated record